AGGGAAACCGAGUCUUAACCGGGCGUUAAGUUGCAGGGUAUAGACCCGAAACCCGGUGAUCUAGCCAUGGGCAGGUUGAAGGUUGGGUAACACUAACUGGAGGACCGAACCGACUAAUGUUGAAAAAUUAGCGGAUGACCUGUGGCUGGGGGUGAAAGGCCAAUCAAACCGGGAGAUAGCUGGUUCUCCCCGAAAGCUAUUUAGGUAGCGCCUCGUGAAUUCAUCUCCGGGGGUAGAGCACUGUUUCGGCUAGGGGGCCAUCCCGGCUUACCAACCCGAUGCAAACUGCGAAUACCGGAGAAUGUUAUCACGGGAGACACACGGCGGGUGCUAACGUCCGUCGUGAAGAGGGAAACAACCCAGACCGCCAGCUAAGGUCCCAAAGUCAUGGUUAAGUGGGAAACGAUGUGGGAAGGCCCAGACAGCCAGGAUGUUGGCUUAGAAGCAGCCAUCAUUUAAAGAAAGCGUAAUAGCUCACUGGUCGAGUCGGCCUGCGCGGAAGAUGUAACGGGGCUAAACCAUGCACCGAAGCUGCGGCAGCGAACGUAUCACUUAAAGCGAUUCAGCGGGUUACGAUUGACGGAGCGAAGCGACGUCAAAGCGUAUACAAAGUCGAGUCGGUUUAAGGAUACGUUCGUUGGGUAGGGGAGCGUUCUGUAAGCCUGUGAAGGUGUGUCGUGAGGCAUGCUGGAGGUAUCAGAAGUGCGAAUGCUGACAUAAGUAACGAUAAAGCGGGUGAAAAGCCCGCUCGCCGGAAGACCAA
RNAcentral lists this ribosomal RNA (763 nucleotides) under Salmonella enterica. Its description in RNAcentral is "bacterial LSU rRNA". It matches the Rfam family "Bacterial large subunit ribosomal RNA", at positions 670 to 1348 of the family's 2925-position model. Lineage: Bacteria; Pseudomonadati; Pseudomonadota; Gammaproteobacteria; Enterobacterales; Enterobacteriaceae. The record is from RNAcentral.